Molecule: unclassified non-coding RNA, 395 nt
Filed under: soil metagenome
Description: partial contains 5.8S ribosomal RNA, internal transcribed spacer 2, and large subunit ribosomal RNA
Rfam family: 5.8S ribosomal RNA (bases 1-122)
Source: RNAcentral
GAUGAAGAACGUAGCGAAAUGCGAUACUUGGUGUGAAUUGCAGAAUCCCGUGAACCAUCGAGUCUUUGAACGCAAGUUGCGCCCGAAGCCAUCAGGUUGAGGGCACGUCUGCCUGGGCGUCACAUAUCGUUGCCCAAUGCCUAUUGCAGUGCAAUAGGUAUUUCUAGGGCGAAUGAUGGCUUCCCGUGAGCGUUGUUGCCUCGCGGUUGGUUGAAAAUCGAGUCCUUGGUAGGGUGUGCCAUGGUAGAUGGUGGUCGAGUUAGAACGAUACCGAUCAUGUGCAUGCUCCCCAAAAUAUGGCCUCUAUGACCCACACGCGUCUUUUGACGCUCAUGACGAGACCUCAGGUCAGGCGGGGCUACCCGCUGAAUUUAAGCAUAUCAAUAAGCGGAGGA